RNAcentral lists this ribosomal RNA (253 nucleotides) under uncultured bacterium. RNAcentral's name for it is "partial 16S ribosomal RNA". It matches the Rfam family "Bacterial small subunit ribosomal RNA", at positions 524 to 776 of the family's 1533-position model. The record is from RNAcentral.
UACGAAGGGGGCUAGCGUUGUUCGGAAUCACUGGGCGUAAAGCGCACGCAGGCGGAUUGAUAAGUCAGGGGUGAAAUCCCGGGGCUCAACCUCGGAAUUGCCUUUGAUACUGUCUGUCUUGAGUCCGGGAGAGGUGAGUGGAAUUCCUAGUGUAGAGGUGAAAUUCGUAGAUAUUAGGAAGAACACCAGUGGCGAAGGCGGCUCACUGGACCGGUACUGACGCUCAUGUACGAAAGCGUGGGGAGCAAACAGG